RNAcentral lists this long non-coding RNA (203 nucleotides) under Gossypium raimondii (Peruvian cotton). RNAcentral's name for it is "long non-coding RNA (GRAI_LNC005512)". Lineage: Eukaryota; Viridiplantae; Streptophyta; Magnoliopsida; Malvales; Malvaceae. The record is from RNAcentral.
UCUUCAAUAAAAUAUGUUUCCUCCUUAACAAAACAGUGAUAUGACUUUGUUUUUUUUCUUGAAUUGUUAAAGCAAAAAAAAAAAAAAAACACUCAACCAAAACACAAGAAAAUUCAAUAUACAGUUUGGGUGUUGGGAACGAGAUAGUCGACACGAAAAAAAUCAAUUUUUUUAACACAGGUGCCAGCAAAGGGAAGAUAGAC